GAUGAACGCUGGCGGCGUGCCUAAUACAUGCAAGUCGAGCGAACGGACGAGAAGCUUUCUUCUCUGAUGUUAGCGGCGGACGGGUGAGUAACACGUGGAUAACCUACCUAUAAGACUGGGAUAACUUCGGGAAACCGUAGCUAAUACCGGAUAAUAUUUUGAACCGCAUGGUUCAAAAGUGAACGACGGUCUUGCUGUCACUUAUAGAUGGAUCCGCGCUGCAUUAGCUAGUUGGUACGGUAACGGCUUACCAAGGCAACGAUGCAUAGCCGACCUGAGAGGGUGAUCAGCCACACUGGAACUGAGACACGGUCCAGACUCCUACGGGAGGCAGCAGUAGGGAAUCUUCGGCAAUGGGCGAAAGCCUGACGGAGCAACGCCGCGUGAGUGAAGAAGGUCUUCGGAUCGUAAAACUCUGUUAUUAGGGAAGAACAGAUGUGUAAGUAACUGUGCACAUCUUGACGGUACCUAAUCAGAAAGCCACGGCUAACUACGUG
Molecule: ribosomal RNA, 497 nt
Filed under: uncultured bacterium
Lineage: Bacteria
Description: partial 16S ribosomal RNA
Rfam family: Bacterial small subunit ribosomal RNA
Source: RNAcentral